RNAcentral lists this long non-coding RNA (641 nucleotides) under Elaeis guineensis (African oil palm). RNAcentral's name for it is "long non-coding RNA (EGUI_LNC034498)". The record is from RNAcentral. Lineage: Eukaryota; Viridiplantae; Streptophyta; Magnoliopsida; Arecales; Arecaceae.
GUGAUUUUGUCGUCGAUCUUCAUUUUGUUCAGCUCUUUUUUUUAGCUUGGCUCGGAUCAAAAGUGCCACAAUCGAGCUACCCCAUUGAGAUCAUACGAAUCUCCCCUACUAUUGGUUGGUCUUUGUGGGGGUCUUCUUGCUGAGAAGGCUCACCGCAUGGGUUUCUUGGGAUCCACCUUUCAUCAAUGUAGCGCUGAAGAUGCCCAUGUCGGAUGAGCACCUCUAUCUCCUCCCUGAGCUACCAAUAUUCCUCCAUGUCAUGUCUGUGAUCACGAUGAUAUCUAUAGUACUUUUUUGGAUUUCUUGCUCGUACUGGAGCGACCAUCCUCUUCGAUCAAGAGAGCUCUUCUUGCCACUCUAUCUCCAUCAGUAUCUGAGCUCGAAAAGUAUUGAGCAGUGUGAAGUAAUGAAACCUUCGUAGAGGAGUCCUAGAUUGAUGAGAUGCUACAGAGGAUCUAAGUCGCUUGCCCCGAGGUGGGGUCCAAGAGCGAUAAGGCCUUGGUUCCACAUGUCAAUGCUGCACUCACCAAUAGUCCUUUUUCUCUUGCCCAGCAUUCGACUAUGAUCUAGUGUCGAGGUUCUCCCCUUGUCGGUCCUAGGCUUCCUCAGCUUAAGCAUAUCUCUCCACCCGUUCUAGCAUU